UGUCCCUACGGGACGCAGCAGUGGGGGAUAUUGCACAAUGGGGGGAACCCUGAUGCAGCGACGCCGCGUGGGUGAAGGAGCGUUUCGGCGCGUAAAGCCCUAUCGGCAGGGAAGAAGGAGGACGGUACCUGACUAAGAAGCCCCGGCUAACUACGUGCCAGCAGCCGCGGUAAUACGUAGGGGGCAAGCGUUAUCCGGAUUUAUUGGGUGUAAAGGGUGCGUAGACGGGAAAUUAAGUUAGUUGUGAAAUCCCUCGGCUCAACUGAGGAACUGCAACUAAAACUGGUUUUCUUGAGUGUUGGAGG
RNAcentral lists this ribosomal RNA (305 nucleotides) under uncultured bacterium. RNAcentral's name for it is "bacterial SSU rRNA". It matches the Rfam family "Bacterial small subunit ribosomal RNA", at positions 335 to 655 of the family's 1533-position model. The record is from RNAcentral.